Molecule: non-coding RNA, 46 nt
Organism: Schistosoma mansoni
Lineage: Eukaryota; Metazoa; Platyhelminthes; Trematoda; Strigeidida; Schistosomatidae
Source: Rfam
AUCCGGCUGACGAGUUCCCAAGUAGGACGAAACGAUUGUCCUGGAU